Molecule: ribosomal RNA, 505 nt
Filed under: uncultured bacterium
Lineage: Bacteria
Description: partial 16S ribosomal RNA
Rfam family: Bacterial small subunit ribosomal RNA
Source: RNAcentral
GACGAACGCUGGCGGCGUGCCUAAUACAUGCAAGUCGAACGCACAGUUUAUACCGUAGCUUGCUACACCAUAGACUGUGAGUUGCGAACGGGUGAGUAACGCGUAGGUAACCUGCCUGGUAGCGGGGGAUAACUAUUGGAAACGAUAGCUAAUACCGCAUGAUAUUGAUUAUUGCAUGAUAAUUGAUUGAAAGAUGCUAUUGCAUCACUACCAGAUGGACCUGCGUUGUAUUAGCUAGUAGGGGAGGUAACGGCUCACCUAGGGGGCGAUACAUAGCCGACCUGAGGAGGAGGAUCGCCACAACGGGAACGGGGAACGGCCCAGAAUUCCUAGGGAGGGAGCAGUAGGGAAUCUUUGGCAAUGGAGGGAAGGCUUGACGAGGAAAGGCGGGGGGUGGGAGAAGGGUGUUCGGUUGGAAAACCCCGUUGUGAGGGAAGAAAGGGCGUGAGAGUGGAAAGUUCACACUGUGACGUUACCUUAACAGAAAGCAACGGCUAACUACGUG